RNAcentral lists this ribosomal RNA (456 nucleotides) under Aggregatibacter aphrophilus. Its description in RNAcentral is "bacterial SSU rRNA". It matches the Rfam family "Bacterial small subunit ribosomal RNA", at positions 30 to 473 of the family's 1533-position model. The record is from RNAcentral. Lineage: Bacteria; Pseudomonadati; Pseudomonadota; Gammaproteobacteria; Pasteurellales; Pasteurellaceae.
AUUGAACGCUGGCGGCAGGCUUAACACAUGCAAGUCGAACGGUAGCAGGUAAGUACUUGUACUUAUGCUGACGAGUGGCGGACGGGUGAGUAAUGCUUGGGGAUCUGGCUUAUGGAGGGGGAUAACGACGGGAAACUGUCGCUAAUACCGCGUAGAAUCGAGAGAUGAAAGUGUGGGACCUUCGGGCCACCUGCCAUAGGAUGAACCCAAGUGGGAUUAGGUAGUUGGUGGGGUAAUGGCCUACCAAGCCGACGAUCUCUAGCUGGCCUGAGAGGAUGACCAGCCACACCGGGACUGAGACACGGCCCGGACUCCUACGGGAGGCAGCAGUGGGGAAUAUUGCGCAAUGGGGGCAACCCUGACGCAGCCAUGCCGCGUGAAUGAAGAAGGCCUUCGGGUUGUAAAGUUCUUUCGGUGACGAGGAAGGUUGUUGUGUGAAUAGCGCAACAAAAUGAC